AUUGAAACUCCAGUUCCUGCAUGAUCAUUGAAGUUAAGCAAUAUUGAACCUGGUCAGUACAUAGAUGGGUGACCACUUGGGAAUACUAGGUGCUGUAAG
Non-coding RNA from Acanthosepion pharaonis, 99 nucleotides. NCBI's taxonomy places the organism in Eukaryota, Metazoa, Mollusca, Cephalopoda, Sepiida, Sepiidae. The record is from the annotation of a GenBank genome assembly.